Ochlerotatus camptorhynchus is the source of this 724-nucleotide long non-coding RNA. RefSeq lists it as uncharacterized. The record is from RefSeq and is a predicted model, not a curated record. The transcript is spliced from 3 exons. NCBI's taxonomy places the organism in Eukaryota, Metazoa, Arthropoda, Insecta, Diptera, Culicidae.
ACCGCCGAAACGAGCCAAAGCAACUAACGGCUAUUGGAUGCCUUCCGGAACGGGAACGUGAAACUGAAGAUCUGGCAAAGUAUAUUGAAGACAUUUUAUCGGAAAAUGGUUCCGGUAGUUUGUACAUAAGUGGCCCUCCUGGAACGGGAAAAACAGCUACUCUCACCAGGAUUAUAAGUGAUCAAAAGCUGGCUAGCAAACUUAACAUGGUUUACGUAAACUGCACAUCAAUCAGCACUGCUGGGGGUAUCUAUAAGAAAAUAAUCGAAGGACUGAAGCUUUCGGUUGGUGGAACAACGGAGAAAUUCUAUCUAAAUAGUAGCUAUCGAAGAAUACCUGAAAAAGAAGCACAAAACUAGAAGCACCGGGAGGACUGUCUGGUGGCGAUCAAGCUGCUCAGUCGCGACAAGACCUACCUGAACGAGACGGUCCGGGAGCAGCAGCUGGCUUGUUUGCUCGGUUUGGCAGGGAUCGGUGGCGAAAGCUGCCAGUGCCGAGCGAGCGAAGAGGUCCAGGUGGAAGCGUUGAAGUGCUUGAGCAAUUUGAUUUUCCAGAGCAGCAAGUGCCAGGAGGGCCAGAAGCUGUGUCUGAACAAUUCUUCCACCGAGGGCAUUAUGCGGAGGAUCAAAACUUACAAGGACGGAAAUGUUUGCUAUGAUAUUAGAUACUUUGAUAUGAAGUUGCUGUUCCUACUAACGGCAAUCAACUGUGAUAUUCGAGCGAA